GAUGAACGCUAGCUACAGGCUUAACACAUGCAAGUCGAGGGGAAACGGCAUUGAGUGCUUGCACUCUUUGGACGUCGACCGGCGCACGGGUGAGUAACGCGUAUCCAACCUUCCCAUUACUGUGGGAUAACCUGCCGAAAGGCAGACUAAUACCGCAUAGUCUUCGAUGACGGCAUCAGAUUUGAAGUAAAGAUUUAUCGGUAAUGGAUGGGGAUGCGUCUGAUUAGCUUGUUGGCGGGGUAACGGCCCACCAAGGCAACGAUCAGUAGGGGUUCUGAGAGGAAGGUCCCCCACAUUGGAACUGAGACACGGUCCAAACUCCUACGGGAGGCAGCAGUGAGGAAUAUUGGUCAAUGGACGUAAGUCUGAACCAGCCAAGUAGCGUGCAGGAUGACGGCCCUAUGGGUUGUAAACUGCUUUUGUAUGGGGAUAAAGUUAGGGACGUGUCCCUAUUUGCAGGUACCAUACGAAUAAGGACCGGCUAAUUCCGUGCCAGCAGCCGCGGUAAUACGGAAGGUCCAGGCGUUAUCCGGAUUUAUUGGGUUUAAAGGGAGCGUAGGCUGGAGAUUAAGUGUGUUGUGAAAUGUAGACGCUCAACGUCUGACUUGCAGCGCAUACUGGUUUCCUUGAGUACGCACAACGUUGGCGGAAUUCGUCGUGUAGCGGUGAAAUGCUUAGAUAUGACGAAGAACUCCGAUUGCGAAGGCAGCUGACGGGAGCGCAACUGACGCUUAAGCUCGAAGGUGCGGGUAUCAAACAGG
This 761-nucleotide ribosomal RNA is filed under the name Prevotella melaninogenica. Its description in RNAcentral is "bacterial SSU rRNA". It matches the Rfam family "Bacterial small subunit ribosomal RNA", at positions 28 to 776 of the family's 1533-position model. The record is from RNAcentral. Lineage: Bacteria; Pseudomonadati; Bacteroidota; Bacteroidia; Bacteroidales; Prevotellaceae.